RNAcentral lists this ribosomal RNA (252 nucleotides) under uncultured Gardnerella sp. RNAcentral describes it as "partial 16S ribosomal RNA". It matches the Rfam family "Bacterial small subunit ribosomal RNA", at positions 103 to 355 of the family's 1533-position model. Lineage: Bacteria; Bacillati; Actinomycetota; Actinomycetes; Bifidobacteriales; Bifidobacteriaceae. The record is from RNAcentral.
CGGGUGNGUAAUGCGUGACCAACCUGCCCCAUGCUCCAGAAUAGCUCUUGGAAACGGGUGGUAAUGCUGGAUGCUCCAACUUGACGCAUGUCUUGUUGGGAAAGUGUUUAGUGGCAUGGGAUGGGGUCGCGUCCUAUCAGCUUGUAGGCGGGGUAAUGGCCCACCUAGGCUUCGACGGGUAGCCGGCCUGAGAGGGCGGACGGCCACAUUGGGACUGAGAUACGGCCCAGACUCCUACGGGAGGCAGCAGCC